This 2603-nucleotide ribosomal RNA is filed under the name Escherichia coli. Its description in RNAcentral is "partial 23S ribosomal RNA". It matches the Rfam family "Bacterial large subunit ribosomal RNA", at positions 339 to 2925 of the family's 2925-position model. Lineage: Bacteria; Pseudomonadati; Pseudomonadota; Gammaproteobacteria; Enterobacterales; Enterobacteriaceae. RNAcentral also lists the same sequence under 1 other name. The record is from RNAcentral.
CGUCUGGAAAGGCGUGCGAUACAGGGUGACAGCCCCGUACACAAAAAUGCACAUACUGUGAGCUCGAUGAGUAGGGCGGGACACGUGGUAUCCUGUCUGAAUAUGGGGGGACCAUCCUCCAAGGCUAAAUACUCCUGACUGACCGAUAGUGAACCAGUACCGUGAGGGAAAGGCGAAAAGAACCCCGGCGAGGGGAGUGAAAAAGAACCUGAAACCGUGUACGUACAAGCAGUGGGAGCACGCUUAGGCGUGUGACUGCGUACCUUUUGUAUAAUGGGUCAGCGACUUAUAUUCUGUAGCAAGGUUAACCGAAUAGGGGAGCCGAAGGGAAACCGAGUCUUAACUGGGCGUUAAGUUGCAGGGUAUAGACCCGAAACCCGGUGAUCUAGCCAUGGGCAGGUUGAAGGUUGGGUAACACUAACUGGAGGACCGAACCGACUAAUGUUGAAAAAUUAGCGGAUGACUUGUGGCUGGGGGUGAAAGGCCAAUCAAACCGGGAGAUAGCUGGUUCUCCCCGAAAGCUAUUUAGGUAGCGCCUCGUGAAUUCAUCUCCGGGGGUAGAGCACUGUUUCGGCAAGGGGGUCAUCCCGACUUACCAACCCGAUGCAAACUGCGAAUACCGGAGAAUGUUAUCACGGGAGACACACGGCGGGUGCUAACGUCCGUCGUGAAGAGGGAAACAACCCAGACCGCCAGCUAAGGUCCCAAAGUCAUGGUUAAGUGGGAAACGAUGUGGGAAGGCCCAGACAGCCAGGAUGUUGGCUUAGAAGCAGCCAUCAUUUAAAGAAAGCGUAAUAGCUCACUGGUCGAGUCGGCCUGCGCGGAAGAUGUAACGGGGCUAAACCAUGCACCGAAGCUGCGGCAGCGACGCUUAUGCGUUGUUGGGUAGGGGAGCGUUCUGUAAGCCUGUGAAGGUGUGCUGUGAGGUAUGCUGGAGGUAUCAGAAGUGCGAAUGCUGACAUAAGUAACGAUAAAGCGGGUGAAAAGCCCGCUCGCCGGAAGACCAAGGGUUCCUGUCCAACGUUAAUCGGGGCAGGGUGAGUCGACCCCUAAGGCGAGGCCGAAAGGCGUAGUCGAUGGGAAACAGGUUAAUAUUCCUGUACUUGGUGUUACUGCGAAGGGGGGACGGAGAAGGCUAUGUUGGCCGGGCGACGGUUGUCCCGGUUUAAGCGUGUAGGCUGGUUUUCCAGGCAAAUCCGGAAAAUCAAGGCCGAGGCGUGAUGACGAGGCACUACGGUGCUGAAGCAACAAAUGCCCUGCUUCCAGGAAAAGCCUCUAAGCAUCAGGUAACAUCAAAUCGUACCCCAAACCGACACAGGUGGUCAGGUAGAGAAUACCAAGGCGCUUGAGAGAACUCGGGUGAAGGAACUAGGCAAAAUGGUGCCGUAACUUCGGGAGAAGGCACGCUGAUACGUAGGUGAAGCGACUUGCUCGUGGAGCUGAAAUCAGUCGAAGAUACCAGCUGGCUGCAACUGUUUAUUAAAAACACAGCACUGUGCAAACACGAAAGUGGACGUAUACGGUGUGACGCCUGCCCGGUGCCGGAAGGUUAAUUGAUGGGGUUAGCGCAAGCGAAGCUCUUGAUCGAAGCCCCGGUAAACGGCGGCCGUAACUAUAACGGUCCUAAGGUAGCGAAAUUCCUUGUCGGGUAAGUUCCGACCUGCACGAAUGGCGUAAUGAUGGCCAGGCUGUCUCCACCCGAGACUCAGUGAAAUUGAACUCGCUGUGAAGAUGCAGUGUACCCGCGGCAAGACGGAAAGACCCCGUGAACCUUUACUAUAGCUUGACACUGAACAUUGAGCCUUGAUGUGUAGGAUAGGUGGGAGGCUUUGAAGUGUGGACGCCAGUCUGCAUGGAGCCGACCUUGAAAUACCACCCUUUAAUGUUUGAUGUUCUAACGUGGACCCGUGAUCCGGGUUGCGGACAGUGUCUGGUGGGUAGUUUGACUGGGGCGGUCUCCUCCUAAAGAGUAACGGAGGAGCACGAAGGUUGGCUAAUCCUGGUCGGACAUCAGGAGGUUAGUGCAAUGGCAUAAGCCAGCUUGACUGCGAGCGUGACGGCGCGAGCAGGUGCGAAAGCAGGUCAUAGUGAUCCGGUGGUUCUGAAUGGAAGGGCCAUCGCUCAACGGAUAAAAGGUACUCCGGGGAUAACAGGCUGAUACCGCCCAAGAGUUCAUAUCGACGGCGGUGUUUGGCACCUCGAUGUCGGCUCAUCACAUCCUGGGGCUGAAGUAGGUCCCAAGGGUAUGGCUGUUCGCCAUUUAAAGUGGUACGCGAGCUGGGUUUAGAACGUCGUGAGACAGUUCGGUCCCUAUCUGCCGUGGGCGCUGGAGAACUGAGGGGGGCUGCUCCUAGUACGAGAGGACCGGAGUGGACGCAUCACUGGUGUUCGGGUUGUCAUGCCAAUGGCACUGCCCGGUAGCUAAAUGCGGAAGAGAUAAGUGCUGAAAGCAUCUAAGCACGAAACUUGCCCCGAGAUGAGUUCUCCCUGACCCUUUAAGGGUCCUGAAGGAACGUUGAAGACGACGACGUUGAUAGGCCGGGUGUGUAAGCGCAGCGAUGCGUUGAGCUAACCGGUACUAAUGAACCGUGAGGCUUAACCUU